GCCUGGCUCGCUCAGUUGGUAGAGUAUGUGAUUCUUGAUCUCAAGGUCUUGAGUUCAAGCCCCAUGCUGGGCA
Molecule: transfer RNA, 73 nt
Organism: Felis catus (domestic cat)
Lineage: Eukaryota; Metazoa; Chordata; Mammalia; Carnivora; Felidae
Rfam family: tRNA
About the family: Transfer RNA (tRNA) molecules are approximately 80 nucleotides in length. Their secondary structure includes four short double-helical elements and three loops (D, anti-codon, and T loops).
Source: Rfam